CAACAACCGGUGCAUACGAACACGAACGAGCGAAGUGACGCGGUUAUGUACGGAAAACAAUCGCGUCGUACGCGGAAAACAUCUUCAAACAUGUAAGAAUCCGUAAACGCGAGUGCUGUCGCAGUCGAAUUUUACGUUUAUUUUUGUUCUGCGAGAAGCCAGCGAAAACCGUAACGUCGUUUCCCGAGCCCGUCGUUGCGUUUACGAGUCAGGUUUUGUCGUCGGUGACGUACGGUUUUUUCGGAGCACCGAGGCCAAACACGAAUCGACGCACGACGAUGAGCGCGAACAACGUGCAGGCACUCUUCGCGUGUUCCAGAUGCUUUUCGAGGCAUCCGUUCGAGGAGCUUUCCCCGGGACAGCAGUUGUGCAAGGAGUGCAGAGGUGCAUUCCCUGUGGUGAAAUGUACGUAUUGUAGGUCAGAAUUCCAGCAAACGAUAAAGGGUAACACGAGUACGAUAUGUAAAAAGUGUGAGCAGAAUGUGAAGUCUUACGGUAAACCGUCGGCCUGCGAGUAUUGCAAUACCAUAGCUGCGUUUAUCGGCAGUAAGUGUCAACGUUGUACAAAUUCCGAGAAACGGUAUGGACCACCAGUCACUUGCGAACAAUGCAAACAGAAGUGUGCCUUUGACAGACAGGACGAAGAUAAAAAGGUCGAUGGAAAAUUGUUAUGUUGGCUGUGUACCCUGUCUUACAAACGAGCGUUGGCGAAAACGAAACAGUCGGACGCGGACAGAAGGGCACACUUGAAACUGGCACAGCAACGGGCGGCGAAACACAAAGAACAAAAAUUGAAAGGUCACAAUAAAAGACCGCACAGAGUGGACGUUACGAAACUACCGCCCCAACCGGAAAUCGCGGAGACGAAUGGCCCUACACCGGUGAAAGUGGCGAGGAUGGUCGGUGCCCACGAUCCUCAUGAUCCGAACAGUUCGGACCAUGUGGUCGCGGUCACGCAACUCAAAGAAAAAAUAGCCCACCUUCAAAAACAAAUCACAAUCAAGGACGGGCAGUUACUUGCUAAGGAUAGACAGAUAACGGAAUUGAAGGCGAAAAACUUCACGUCGGAAACGGAGCUGCGCAACAAAAUGAAGGCCACGGAGAAGGAGUACGAGAACAAGGUAUCGACGAUGCAAUUGAAGAUCUCCACAUUGUUGAAGGAGGUUGCCUCGUUGUCGAAGAGUUCGAAACGGGGCGACAGACUGGCUGCCACGAAAACGGAAGCCGGGACCAACAGUGGAAGCGGAACAGACAGUCCUGUACCUUUCUAAGGAAUUGGCGUUCUCUGCCGAGGAUUCUAUCUUCUGCUAUCCUGUGGAUUCAGCUACGCAUCGUUUGGAGUACUCGUUAAUCCAAAUGCUGCCGCUGAAACCCGCCUGGCCGGAGUUGGUCCGAGCGGAGCGCGAUUAAAAGUGAAGCCUCUUGACCACGUGGCCUGAGGUCAUAGUGGCGUAGGCAGACGUUACUCUCUUCGUCUGGUCGGGCAAGGUAGAGGAGCGUCGUGGCGAGGCCUGGUUCGUCGAGGAGCGGUAUGAGGGUGUUGAGAGCCACAGUCCUCGAUCCAACGCGGGUAUACAGAGGUAACUGCUUAGUCAUUGGGCCACGAUCGACCAUGUUACAAUGGUUAUUCAGCGAUGUUACGAGCGGACACGAGGGGCCAAGAGGUGAAAAAGAAACAAGACGGAGGUGGACCAUAGCCUCGUAAACCGGCCUGCUGGAGAUGUAAUGUUACGUCUGUUAGAUUCUGGGAGAGAAUCCUGGCUCUGGAGCGAAUUUAGUGGCUAAUGUUCAAGUUCCAUGUAUUUGCUAUGAUUGUGAGUCACGGCCGCGUCCGAGAGACAAUGAGACAUCACUCUUCGGUGUUUGUAGCCUCCUCGUGUGUCCGUGGACGCUUACAAGCCUUCGAACCUACACGUAGGUUGUUAAAAAGAAAAGUCCGACCUUGAAUGACGGAAUCGUGGACGCCAGUUCACUUUAAAGCGGAAUGGGUAGCGAUUAUAGUCACUUUAGAUAAGAGAAAUAUUUUUAUUAGCUAGAUUUAAUAUAAAAGUGACAGUUUUUAUACAAUAUUAAAUUGAUAUAUAUUUGUAUGUCAAUAUCGAUUUAGAGAUAAAAGAACUACUUCGAUUGAGGGUGUUCGAUUAAACAAACGAGAAACCACACCUUAUAAAAUUCAUCCCACGAGAGGGCAAAUAUUCAUGAAACAUAUUUCGAUCGAACCCCCGCUUUAAAGUGAAUUAGCAGCCUCGAUAUUGAGACUUGAAAGCGUGUACGGAGUCUGAUGUCUGCAAUCACGGUUCUUAAGAGCAUGCAUCGAAAACAGCCCGCCGAGUAAUUGCCUCGGAAAAUUCCUGCUUUUCCCACGAAACCUCCAGUCCUAAUCGUCGAAUCCUCUUUUCAUCCAAUUACGCGCGAAAGGAUUAAGGCUUGAGCCGCUCGCGUCCCGCUGGAAGCGAUCUGGAAGACCAUUACCCCCACGCAAGGACCAGCCGUCGGUUGGAAACAGUUCAAAGAAAGGGGCUGAAGAAGAAACGGAAGAAGGGUGCACUGGCGUCGACCCAACGAGAACGAACGAAAUUUCACCGGAAUAAUUCGUUGGAUACAUUUUUAUUCCUUAUCCCGAGGCGGACAGUGGGAAGGUUGAAAGGCGACGAAGGGUAGGGUUGAUUCUCCGGGUGGUGGGGAGGCACGACAGAGAGAAGUGUUCCUGUGUUCGGGACGCGGUCAAAGACACGAGACACAGAGCGACCGCUCGUUACAUAAGUAAGGUAAAGGAUCUUCUCUUCUGCUCUCCUUGAGCCGAUCCACAUCCGCGAUUAUGCCACUUUCCAUCGACCUCGCUUCACCUCGACCGCCUAUGCGUGUGCUCCAGCCUCUGUGUGCGCUUGCGCAGCGGUGCGUGUGGAACGGAAGUCGCAUCGGCGAUCUUCUUUUCGAACCGAUCGAAUUCCGGACCUUCGCGAGUAAUUGUAGGGUCCUCGAGCACGUUCUCGACUCCUCUUCCUCCUUUGAAAGGAAGUGGAAUCGUUGUCAUGGACUGGUUCGACGCAUAGGAAGGUAAAUCACGAAUAAAAUAAUGGCGUCGCUGAGAGCAGGCGUCGCGCGAUGCGCGAGGAAAGUGCGCAGAAGACACCAAGCGGUGACCGUUCUCCACGAACCGCACUGGAACAACGAAGGGGGGAUGUGUAAUUAAAGAAACGCCCAAAGGGGCGAAUUAACGAACCUGCUGUCGGGAGCAUUAUCAUUCGCGAUAUUAAUAAGGCGAAUUCACGACCUUGAAGAUACAUAUCGCGAGCUCGCAGGGGCAUGAAGCCCGUAACAGUUACCUCCAGACAAAUUCCAGCGCCGCGUACGUUUUCGUUCCGGACGCGAGGGGAGCUGUCGUCGCUUAAUUAAAAACUCUGGCAAAUCGAGUGGCCCGUCACGCCAAUUAACUUUACACCGGAACCUGCCAAGACGAUCGGGAGAGUGCUCGGAAAAAUUAACGGACACUGCAGCGAAGGAAUUAGUUUUCUAUAAGGAACGCGAUAGUUAAUUGUUUCGCGAUGCAAGACGUUGCCAGUCGCUUUGUAUAAAAAGGAACGAACAGAGACUUUUAUUAGAGCUUUGGACACGCUAGAGUUUAUGAUGUUUGGUUGCUACAAGUCCUCAGGGAUCAGUGACACCGAUGGUGCCGUCGACACUGCUCCUAGAACGACCUUCGACGACACGGACGACCUUGGUGUCACGCGACGGGAAAUGUGGGAACUACAGGAAAUGAAAUAUGAAGAAAUAUGUAUCUCUCAUGAAGACUGUAUAAGGAGAUCCAACUCCAUACGAAAACUGUUAUCAAAAUCCCGAGCUUUAAGUUAUGAAUAUUUCUACCACUCGCGGCGCUAGUGCGCACAGACUACGAUAUAUAUAUAUGUCAUAUGU
Molecule: RNA transcript, 3915 nt
Organism: Hylaeus volcanicus
Lineage: Eukaryota; Metazoa; Arthropoda; Insecta; Hymenoptera; Colletidae
Gene name: protein FAM76A
Exons: 10
Source: RefSeq, a predicted model, not a curated record